GAUGAACGCUGGCGGCAUGCCUAAUACAUGCGAGUCGAACGAGAGGAAGGAAAGCUUGCCUUUCUGAAUCUAGUGGCGAACGGGUGAGUAACACGUAGGUAACCUGCCCAUGUGCCCGGGAUAACUUCUGGAAACGGAUGCUAAAACCGGAUAGGUAGCAGACAAGCAUUUGACUGCUAUUAAAGUGGCUAAGGCCAUGAACCUGGAUUGACCUGCGGUGCAUUAGCUAGUUGGUGAGGUAACGGCCCACCAAGGCGACGAUGCAUAGCCGGCCUGAGAGGGCGGACGGCCACAUUGGGACUGAGACACGGCCCAAACUCCUACGGGAGGCAGCAGUAGGGAAUUUUCGUCAAUGGGGGGAACCCUGAACGAGCAAUGCCGCGUGAGUGAGGAAGGUCUUCGGAUCGUAAAGCUCUGUUGUAAGAGAAAAACGACAUUCAUAGGGAAUGAUGAGUGAGUGAUGGUAUCUUACCAGAAAGUCACGGCUAACUACGUGCCAGCCGCCGCUGUAA
This 512-nucleotide ribosomal RNA is filed under the name uncultured bacterium. RNAcentral's name for it is "partial 16S ribosomal RNA". It matches the Rfam family "Bacterial small subunit ribosomal RNA", at positions 28 to 523 of the family's 1533-position model. The record is from RNAcentral.